CCUGUGGAGUGUCACAUCCACCGUAGUAGCGAGCUUGGGGCGAGGCGGGACACGUUGAAGCAGGAA
RNAcentral lists this non-coding RNA (66 nucleotides) under unclassified sequences. RNAcentral's name for it is "RAGATH-18 RNA". It matches the Rfam family "RAGATH-18 RNA". From Rfam's summary of the family: Actinobacteria, Firmicutes, Fusobacteria, Thermotogae (1 example). The record is from Rfam by way of RNAcentral.